This 468-nucleotide ribosomal RNA is filed under the name uncultured bacterium. RNAcentral describes it as "partial 16S ribosomal RNA". It matches the Rfam family "Bacterial small subunit ribosomal RNA", at positions 28 to 507 of the family's 1533-position model. The record is from RNAcentral.
GACGAACGCUGGCGGCGUGCCUAAUACAUGCAAGUCGAACGGAAAGGCCCUGCUGCUGUCGGGUGCUCGAGUGGCGGACGGGCGAGUAACACGUGAGUAACCAGCCCUCCACCUUCGGAGAACUUCAGGAAACUGGGGCUAAUACAGGCUAGGAGCUCCUGCUGCAUGGCGGGGGCUGGAAAGUUUCGGUGGUUGGGGAUGGACUCGCGGCUUAUCAGCUUGGUUGUGAGGUAGGGGCUUACCAAGGCUUUGACGGGUAGCCGGCCUGAGAGGGUGACCGGCCACCUUGGGACUGAGAUACGGCCCAGACUCCUACGGGAGGCAGCAGUGGGGAAUAUUGCACGAUGCGCCGAAGCCUGAUGCAGCAACGCCGCGUGCGGGAUGGCGGCCUUCGGGUUGUAAACCACAUUCGCCUGUGACGGAGCGUAAGUGACGGUAAUGGGUAAAUAAGCAUCGGCUAACUCCGUG